This 400-nucleotide ribosomal RNA is filed under the name Moraxellaceae bacterium enrichment culture clone MS_H2_O4. Its description in RNAcentral is "bacterial SSU rRNA". It matches the Rfam family "Bacterial small subunit ribosomal RNA", at positions 50 to 452 of the family's 1533-position model. The record is from RNAcentral. Lineage: Bacteria; Pseudomonadati; Pseudomonadota; Gammaproteobacteria; Moraxellales; Moraxellaceae.
UACACAUGCAAGUCGAGCGGGGAUUGGGUGCUUGCACCUAAUCUUAGCGGCGGACGGGUGAGUAAUGCUUAGGAAUCUGCCAUUUAGUGGGGGACAACAUUCCGAAAGGGAUGCUAAUACCGCAUACGCCCUACGGGGGAAAGCAGGGGAUCUUCGGACCUUGCGCUAAAUGAUGAGCCUAAGUCGGAUUAGCUAGUUGGUGGGGUAAAGGCCUGCCAAGGCGACGAUCUGUAGCGGGUCUGAGAGGAUGAUCCGCCACACUGGGACUGAGACACGGCCCAGACUCCUACGGGAGGCAGCAGUGGGGAAUAUUGGACAAUGGGGGGAACCCUGAUCCAGCCAUGCCGCGUGUGUGAAGAAGGCCUUUUGGUUGUAAAGCACUUUAAGUGAGGAGGAGGCU